CCUACGGGUGGCAGCAGUGAGGAAUAUUGGUCAAUGGGCGCGAGCCUGAACCAGCCAAGUAGCGUGAAGGAUGACUGCCCUACGGGUUGUAAACUUCUUUUAUAAAGGAAUAAAGUGAGGCACGUGUGCCUCUUUGUAUGUACUUUAUGAAUAAGCAUCGGCUAACUCCGUGCCAGCAGCCGCGGUAAUACGGAGGAUCCGAGCGUUAUCCGGAUUUAUUGGGUUUAAAGGGAGCGUAGAUGGGUUGUUAAGUCAGUUGUGAAAGUUUGCGGGUCAACCGUAAAAUUGCAAUUGAUACUGGGUGUCGUGAGUACAGUUGAGGUAGGCGGAAUUCGUGGUGUAGCGGUGAAAUGCUUAGAUAUCACGAAGAACUCCGAUUGCGAAGGCAGCUUACUAGACUGCCACUGACAUUGAUGCACGAAAGUGUGGGUAUCAAACAGGAUUAGAUACCCUUGUAGUC
RNAcentral lists this ribosomal RNA (460 nucleotides) under uncultured bacterium. RNAcentral describes it as "partial 16S ribosomal RNA". It matches the Rfam family "Bacterial small subunit ribosomal RNA", at positions 338 to 795 of the family's 1533-position model. The record is from RNAcentral.